Molecule: long non-coding RNA, 26110 nt
Filed under: Ananas comosus (pineapple)
Lineage: Eukaryota; Viridiplantae; Streptophyta; Magnoliopsida; Poales; Bromeliaceae
Description: long non-coding RNA (ACOM_LNC041719)
Source: RNAcentral
UUGUUUUGAGGUGGUUAAUUUGGGAUCAUAUGAGAUUGUAAGAUUCAGAAUCAAAUUCAUUGCUUAAAAAUUUCGAAUGCAUUUUUUUAUUUGUCAAAUUCUCAGUCAUUAAUCACAUAAAAUGUCCAAUGCAAUCUCAAUUUGGUCUAAUUUGGCCAAAUCGAAAAAUUCAACUUUGGAUAGAAUCAAAGGGUUCGAUUAUUUUUCGAACAUCCCACAGUUCUUCCAAUAAAAGGACGAUCAAAAGAAUAUUAAUCGAUAACCCGAUUAAUUUUCUUUUGUCUCCUCAUUAUAGGAGAAUUAAGAGAGAAUUUUUCUUUUUAUCUCCUUUGAAAAUACAAGACAACAAAGAUAGAUAAUUCUUCUUUGUCUCUUUUACAUUCAUGGGACAACUAAGGUGGGAAAAUCCCUUCCUUGCCUCCCUUUUUGUAACAAAGCUUCCUCUCUCUUUUGUAAUUAGAGAAGUAAUCUCUUUCUCUCUCUCUUUUGAUAAUAUACUUUUUUUUUUGCAAAGAGAAGAGCACCGCUCUCCCUCUUUCGAUAAUGCUAUAUUUUUUGUAAAGAGAAGAGCACCGCUCUUUCUCUUUUAAUAACACAUUUUUUAUAAAGAGAAGAGCACCGCUCUUUCUCUAAGUUCGCUGUCGAAAGAUAUGUCUCGGGCAUUCCGUCAAACAAUUGGUGGACGUGAACAGAUGAGGUCGUCGGGCUUCAACUCGUCGGAGCCGUUGAUGAUGACCAUGAACAGCGUGUCGCUCUGCACCUCUACACUGCUCGAUGGCUGCCGGUUCCAAGGAAGUUGACGUGGAUGAUCUCUGCGGCGAGCCCCGCGAGCUAGGAAGUCGUGUGCGACUUUGUAGAUGCUGACGUAGACCUUCUGGGCGACGAGCACGAAGUCGCAGUGCUCGUUUGCUCAGCCCAUAACUCAGCUUCUUCAGCCUCGUCGUGAUCUUGUCAAAGUAGACCGACUCUUGCCGCCCGUCUCGUUUCGUUUGGGAAUUUCGUCGAACAGGUGGAGGGGGUGGAGAUAUGUAGAUGGAGACGCGGCGGAGCUCGGUGGAGACGCGGCGGAGAUGCGACGGCUUCGGUGGAGACGCGGCGGAGAUGCGGCGGCUUCGGUGGAGACGCGGAGGCGCUCAGCGGAGCUUGGUGGAGACGCGGCGGCGCUCAGCGGAGCUCGGUGGAGCUUGGCGGAGGCACUCAGCGGAGCUCGGUGGAGACGCAGGGGCGCUCAGCGGAGCUCGGUGGAGACGCGGCGGCGCUCAGUGGAGCUCGAUGGAGCUCGGCGGAGGUGUUGACGAACUUGGCGUCGCGGCCCGCCGAGUAGGUCGCAGGCGAGGGCGAUCUCGAACCUGGCGGUGACGGCGAAUCCGGCGACGGCGCCGGCGAUGGGCUUGCGGCACGCAGCCAUGGCGGCGACAGCGUCGGCGGCGGGGUCUUUAACGUCGCCCUUGAAGACAUUCUCGUCGGCGGUGAGGUCGACGCCGGAGCAGAAGGCGCGGCUGUGCCCGGCGAGGACCACGGCGGAUCCAUAGGGUCGCCGCUCCACUUGAGCAUUUCGUCGAGCACCUUGUCGGAGGCGAGCUCGCCCGUGGCGUUGUAGCAGUUUUGCUUCAGGGUCUCCUUGUGGUUGGAGAGGAUGGCGUUGUGAAGCUUCGCCCGGAUCCCGUGGGUGACCGAAACCCUGGUGCGGUCGACGGAGGUCCCUGCGGCGAAGCGCGGGGAGAGGGCGUGGUUCGCGGCGUUGGAGUCGUCGAGGGCAUCGAGCUGCGUCUUGAUGGAGUGGGCAGUGCGGAGGAUCGCGGCGAAGCUCGGUGGAGCUCGGCAGAGGCGCUCGGCAUCUCUGGCGUGGAGGAGGGAGAAGACGAGGUGCGCGUCGAGGAGGCGGAGGGUGGCUGACCAUGCGGUGGAGAUGGGACGCGCACAAUCGGCGAGGCGGGUGACGCAGAGGGGGUCGAGCAGAGAGAGAGAGAGAGAGAUCUGAGAUCUUUUACUUCUCUUUUCUCUUUUUUUUUUCUUUUUUUUUUCUUUUUUUUUUUUAGGAGGGAGAGAGAUAGAGAGAUCUGAGAUCUUUGUCAUUGAUUGAUGCUAUAUCAAUGGAAAAACUACCUUUUUUUUUCUUCUUUCGUGAACAGGGGAAUAGUAUGGGUUUUUUUUUAUUAGGAAUAGGUUUGAGAGUUCAAAAACUGUGUCCUCUUUUUCUUUUCUCAUUGAGAGAUAUUUAUGGGACUAGUCUAACUACCCGGGAGAACGUGCGUAUGGACGUGCGUAUGGUGAGGUUUGUGGGAAGUUACGAUGUAGGAUCAUGGGAUCAUAGGUAUUAAAUUGCAUAUUAGUCCUUCCCAUUUGUUUAUAUUAUACCUUAGUUAAAAUAACAGAAUAUUAUAUGUUUGAAGGAGCAUCUUGCAAAUAUAUGAAAGGGAAAUGACUAAUUUGCUAUUUGUAAUACCCAUUCAUGCCUACAAGAACAUCCCACUUUUUGUAAUCUAUGCACCUGGUGCAUGGAUUAACCUAUGCACCAGGUUCAACAUUUGAACUCAAAUUUCUCCAUGCACCUAGUGCAUGGAUCAUCUCAUACACCAUUAUUCAAAUUUUCUCUCAUUCUACCUUUUUUCUUUGUCCUUUUUUUUUUUUUUUUUUUUCAAGCAGAAGACGGCAUANNNNNNNNNNNNNNNNNNNNNNNNNNNNNNNNNNNNNNNNNNNNNNNNNNNNNNNNNNNNNNNNNNNNNNNNNNNNNNNNNNNNNNNNNNNNNNNNNNNNNNNNNNNNNNNNNNNNNNNNNNNNNNNNNNNNNNNNNNNNNNNNNNNNNNNNNNNNNNNNNNNNNNNNNNNNNNNNNNNNNNNNNNNNNNNNNNNNNNNNNNNNNNNNNNNNNNNNNNNNNNNNNNNNNNNNNNNNNNNNNNNNNNNNNNNNNNNNNNNNNNNNNNNNNNNNNNNNNNNNNNNNNNNNNNNNNNNNNNNNNNNNNNNNNNNNNNNNNNNNNNNNNNNNNNNNNNNNNNNNNNNNNNNNNNNNNNNNNNNNNNNNNNNNNNNNNNNNNNNNNNNNNNNNNNNNNNNNNNNNNNNNNNNNNNNNNNNNNNNNNNNNNNNNNNNNNNNNNNNNNNNNNNNNNNNNNNNNNNNNNNNNNNNNNNNNNNNNNNNNNNNNNNNNNNNNNNNNNNNNNNNNNNNNNNNNNNNNNNNNNNNNNNNNNNNNNNNNNNNNNNNNNNNNNNNNNNNNNNNNNNNNNNNNNNNNNNNNNNNNNNNNNNNNNNNNNNNNNNNNNNNNNNNNNNNNNNNNNNNNNNNNNNNNNNNNNNNNNNNNNNNNNNNNNNNNNNNNNNNNNNNNNNNNNNNNNNNNNNNNNNNNNNNNNNNNNNNNNNNNNNNNNNNNNNNNNNNNNNNNNNNNNNNNNNNNNNNNNNNNNNNNNNNNNNNNNNNNNNNNNNNNNNNNNNNNNNNNNNNNNNNNNNNNNNNNNNNNNNNNNNNNNNNNNNNNNNNNNNNNNNNNNNNNNNNNNNNNNNNNNNNNNNNNNNNNNNNNNNNNNNNNNNNNNNNNNNNNNNNNNNNNNNNNNNNNNNNNNNNNNNNNNNNNNNNNNNNNNNNNNNNNNNNNNNNNNNNNNNNNNNNNNNNNNNNNNNNNNNNNNNNNNNNNNNNNNNNNNNNNNNNNNNNNNNNNNNNNNNNNNNNNNNNNNNNNNNNNNNNNNNNNNNNNNNNNNNNNNNNNNNNNNCCAGCAGACAAUUUAUUAUGGCCUUCCUAAAGCUAGCGCUUUACGGUUGAGAAGUGUUGCCUUAGCCGCUUGCGAGGCCUAUUCUUUGCCUGCCAUUCACGUGCCGCCUACGUAUUUCAUGAGUGACCACCACGAAGGGUCUGCAAGGUCCUGCGCAUCCUGGGCCUCAAUUCCCUGUUAGUUUUCUAUAUGCGUGGAUUGGUCUUCAUUUUGAACAGACUUAUUCUAGAAAGGUGAUCAGCGAUAAUAUCAAAAACAUCGCCGGCUUACAAAGCCCUCCUCAAAUGAUAUUUUUUAUGGAUGCGGCGGCUUCUCCUUUUAAUGCUAAGCGAGCACGAAUUCAUCUCAGAUCGAGCGCCCAUUUUGUGUGGCGUCCCCUGCCAUAUUCUUAUUCUUUUGUUAAUGAUGGUUGGCUUUAUGAUGCAAAAUUGACUACAGGAGAGUGUAAAUAUCCAAAAGAGGUCAAUGAAUAUAUAAUUUCUAUCAGACAGAGUGUGCUUCCACUUCGUUUGGGGAACAAACUGCACACACAGCCAUAUAAUCCUCAUCGUUUUGCUCGACAAUUCGGCUUCGAUCAAUCUUUUCCUGAAAGUAUCAAUGUUCCUAAAUUAGCCAACCAUCUUGGGACACUUGCUGGGUGUUGGAAUCAUUUUCUGCGAUAUGGGACUUCUACUAACUAUUUUAUACCAAAGAAAGACCGGAUUGGCAAACCGACUUUACAUUAUGCGCGUUGGUGGUCUAAUAGCGUGCAUUCGAGCUUCAAGCAUGGAGUGGGCUAUUUACUAAAUGCAGAUGAUCCCCGCAAGAAGAAGAAAAAAGGUGUUAUCAUUUUAGAGAAAAAUUCAACUUUUGAAGGGAGAUUGAUUCUUCAGAUGUUAUAAAUGAAAGAGUACUAAACUCUCUAGAACCAGAGGGAAAGCAACUUGAUUUAUUUCCAGAAUAUGAUCAUAUCCAAGCUGGUCCUUCCGAUGACUCUCCUCAAUUUGAAGUUCUCGGCCUCAGUUUUCCAAUUCACGAAGAUGAGAAAUCUAAGGUAUGCUCAUUAACAAUUUCAAUUAUCUUCUCUCUACUUUUUAUUUUUUGUGUGCUGAACUUCUUUUGUUUUAUGGUAUUUGUAGGAAGUGCGCAUUAUAGAUUCGCCUACCGGAGGUGAAAUGCAUUGGCAAGAUUCUACAACGAGGACAAAGGUGCGACGUAGAAUCCGUAUGAUUCGAAUUUUGUUGGUUCAUUCUAGCAUCCUUUCUUUCCAUGUAUUAACUAUAUAUAUGUAUUUAUAUUUUUACAUAGAUAUGCAAUGUGGAACCAUCUUUAAGAAGCCCAAAAAAUCUACCAUUGGAUGCUUCAACUAAAGUAGCUCAUGGAAAGCUUCCCCUUACUGUGUCUUCAAUAAUAGGUGACUCUUUUCAUUCAUAUUCUAUUUAUAAUUAUCUGCACAUGAUGUACGCCACAUUUAUCCUUUAUAUAUAUAUAUAUAUAUAUACAUAUAUAAAUAUAUAUAUACAUAUGUAUAUAUGUAUAUAUAUGUAUAUAUAUAUAUAUGUAUAUAUGUAUAUAUAUGUAUAUAUGUAUAUAUAUGUAUAUAUAUACAUAUAUACAUAUAUAUAUAUAUAUACAUAUAUAUAUAUAUGUGUAUAUAUGUAUAUGUAUAUAUAUACUAGUUGAGUGUACGUGCAACUGCACGUAACAAUUAUUUUAAUUUAUUUAAAUCAAUAAAUAUUUGUAAAUCAUAUUUAUUCAAAAAUUUAUAAAUAUUUUUUAAAUUUAUAUAUUACAUUUGAGCAGAAAUUAAUGUAAAAAAAAAUAUAUUUUGAAAUUAAAUAGAAAAAUAAAAUAUGUUAUCUUAAAAAGAAAAGAUAUUUUGAAAUUCGAAAAUUAAUAUAAAAAAGAAAAAAUAAAAUCCGUUAUCUUUUAUAGGAUUUUCAUACCAAAAAUAUUUUAAAAAAGAUAUUUUAAAAAUAAAUUGAAAAAUAUCUUUUAUAGGAUUUUCACACCCGUAAUUUGUUAUAAAAAACUUACUUUUAAAAUUAAAUAGAUAAUACCUAAAAAAGAUAUUUUAAAAUAAAAUAGAAAAAUAUAAGUAAUCGGUUAUAGAGAACAUGCGUAUGCAUUAGGGUUUCUAUUUUUAUUCUUAUAUUUAAAAUUUUUUUUGUACGGAAUGAGGAAAAUGGGCGCUAAUUUUUCCGCCGAAAUAUGGGUCUGUCGACAGACCCAAAUUUGAAUAUACGUGUUUUUAUAUAUAGUAUAGAUAUGUGUAUAUAUGUAUAUAUAUGUAUAUAUAUAUAUAUACAUAUGUAUAUAUAUAUAUAUAUAUUUUUAACCGAUAGAAUCACAAAUCGGAAGGAGUGGGUCUAUUGAGGAUGACGUGUCUCUAUAUGAUGAUGAAUUGGUUCCACACCUUCGCCGCCAAAGGUAAUUUUAUUUUUUUUUUUUUUUUGGUUAAAUCCAUAUGCCUUCUAUUAGUCUUAAAUUAAGCAUUUGAUUCUCAACUAAAGAAGGAGGUAAGAUAUGGAUAAUAAUGUGUAAUUUUUCGUUAGAAAUCUGUAGCCGCAAAAAUUUUAUAAAUCGGAGCUAUAACGAAAAUGUUAUGGCCCAUUUACAUUUUGGUCCCUGUAUUUACAAAGCAGUCCCUGCAGUUUCAUUUCAGUCCCUGCAGCUUCAUUUUCCUUUGAUUUUUUGAUGCAAAUCUAUAUUCUCGGUCUUUCUUUUUGGUCUAAAAUUGUUCUCAAGGAAUUCAUGGCUGUAACAAUACAUAAGUUAGGAUUACAACGGCAAUGUUAUAACCCGUUUUACAUAAUACUCCUUAUUUUUUUGUUUUACAAAAUAGUCCCUGCAGCAUGUAUCUUCAAUUUUGCUCCGAAUAUCAGCAUAUAGUCUUUUUUCUCACAGGAUCCACUCAUAGAUGUUGCAGAUAUUGGAGUGUCAUCUUUCAGGGAAGCUUGCCCGACUCAUCAUGAGGUAUAUAUGUAUUUAUCAAAAUUGUCCCAAGUUUUAUUUCAUAUCGCUCCCGUAGUCAUACAUUAAGCGCAUUUACUAUUUCUUUUACACCACAACUCCAUUGUUUAGGAUGAGGGUGCCAAAGAAGAUAAUGACAGUAUAGUAGAGGAAAGCAAAAAUGAAGCUAUAACAGAAUCGCCUUCACUGGGUAAAAGAGAACGAGUCGUUGAUUUUUCGACUAUAGAGGCGCAUAAGAGAGCUCGUUUGGAGACCGAUUUAAAAACAACUAGUAAGGCCCCAUUUUUUCUUGUCAAAGUUUCAUAAAAAGCAGUAUGCCCUAUGAAAGCAUCCCUUUUAUAUAUUUUUAUUGUCUCUUUUUUUUGUGCGCAGGUUUUCCGGUAGAGUCAAAAUCAAAUAAUGAUCCAGAAGAUGCUUUAUCGCCUUACGGCGACGAAGUGAACUACGAGCCUACACCUUCACCACCCUGAAGCUCUUGAAAAUAAUGAUAUGGUGAGAUUUUAUAUAUUCAAACAUUUCUUCUUCUCAUUUUCUUUCAUAUUUUUUAUUAUUUUCUCUUUUUUAUAGGAUGUACCACUUGACGAGAAUGUCGGUAUUCACUUGGAUAGUGGUGCAGGAGAUUCCCGAAGCGAGAUACCUAUUGUAGCCCAGUCAUUUUUGAUCGAUCGCAUAAUGGAUACUAUGAAGACAUUUAAUCGUCGCAAAUUUAGAUCAGCUCGAGACGAAGUAUCAAAAUAUUGCCAAUGUUUAUCUUCACUUGGAAUUGAUAUAUCUGAAUUGGAAAGGCGUAUAAAACCUAUAUUUGACCAUGCAGAGGCCAUUGAAGAAGUAGAAUCAAGUCCAAAUUUUAUUUCAGUUGUUCGACUCAUGAAUGCUGAUGAGAAUCUGGCACUAAGAAAAAGAAAACUUGCUUCCCAUAUCAGUACAAAGAGUUCUCUCCUUCAAGGUACUGAAAGUGUCUCUUUAGAGCUUCAACAAACCAGAGAGAAAAUAAAAGAACUAGAAGAGAGUAUAUUGCAUUUGAAAAGUACAGAAGCGGAAUUGACACUUAGACUUGAAGUGGCUGAUGACUCCUUAAAGAAACUAAUACCGACUGAAGAAGAACUACAAAAGGAUGUCGUUGAUGCAGAAAAGGAAUAUGCUGCAGUCAUUGAAGAUUGUAAUGAUUCUAAAGAAUCCACUGGUCUUCGAGGAUUAAUAGAGCUGUUUGAGGAGCGUCGUCAAAUAUUUGAAAUUUGAUUUCUUCUUUUCUUCUCUUUGUUAUUUUUUGUUUGUCACGAAUGUUAUUUUUGUUUGUCACUAAUAAGAAACAAUAUUUUGUAGUCUCAAUAGUUUGAAUGUUUUGGAUUAUGCUUGAGUAUUUGAUCUCCUCAUCUUUUUUAUAUUGUGUUGCAUUGUGACAAUGAUUAUCUUGUGAGAAUGGCUUUGUUUAUUUUGCCUCGAUCACCACGCAUAACCAACUCUUAAUUGGGUUAGCAUUCUGUCAUCCAAAUAAAUUCUAGAUAGGUACUCUAUCCCGACUUUUAUUUAUAGGUCUCGAAGAAUUUUCUCAAAACAAAGAUCCCUAAUUUGCCACAGUUAAUAUUUCGUAUGCUAGUGGCUCAAAUCCAUAUUUAGAGACAUGGUUAAACUAAAUUAAAUUUUCAAUGCUCAAUUUAAAAAUAUAGCGAUCAUAUUAGAAUGCUCAGUUUAACGACAUGGCAGUCGAAUUACAUCAGAUGCUCAGUUUAACGACAUGGCGGUCAAAUUACAUUAAAUGCUCAGUUUAACGACAUGGCGGUCAUAUUACAUCAGAUGCUCAAUUUAACGACAUGGCGGUCAAAUUAGAUUAUAUGCUCAGUUUAACGACAUGGCGGUCAUAUUACAUCAGAUGCUCAGUUUAACGACAUGGCGGUCAAAUUACAAUUAAAUCUCAUUAAACGACAAUUUUUGGCGGUCAUAAUUACAUUCUGAACUGCUGGGGAUAAAUUCACAAUUUAAUCCCGAAUCCAAUUGUGACCCAUAUUGUCUAAACAACAUUACAUCCACUCUUUUUUUUCUUCUUUUUUUUUUUUUAAUCCCAAUCGGAUUGGGCCUAGAUAGAUAUAUAUUGCCAUAUACUUAGGGCUGAGAUAAUUUCGGCUUAAUACCUACCCAAAUUGUAUAUAGGCUGGAUUUCGGGUGUAUAAUUAUGCGGCCCAAUGAUUUGGGCUUGUGCUUGUCUUCUUAUAAGUUCUUGUGACCAUGAAUAAAACAAUUGGCCCAUCAAAAUAACUCAAAUUCAAUUUCCCAACAUCUCUUCUAUAAUACUCAUCAACACCCUCACACAUUUUCAAAAUAUUUCUUUUUUUAUGCAUAAUCAUCUUGUAAAAACGACACAUUGAAUACUGCAUUGUACAAAUCAACACCUCACCUUUCCAAAAAGCAAAUAACGAUAAGCGCACAACCCGCUCAUAGCAUUCCACACAUAUAACAGGCUACACACAAUCCACAACAAUAUUGAUCGAAUAUCUUUCGCAUGUUUAACGCAUCUAAAACGACAACAACAACUCCCCAACAUUGAACCACAGGGGUUAGUUUUAUUAUAUCGCACAACACCCACAACUAUCAACAGCUUGAUAGAUUCAAAUUUUUUGGGCAAUUACUGAUUAAACUCAUCACUAUACGUUUUUUAAUCGUUGAACUGCUUAAUUCGCAAUGAAGCAAUUCAAUCUUCUAAAACCUGUAAACUAUCCUCAGUGCCAAACACCAAAGAGUAGUGUGUUCUGAUUGUGGGUUCUAUAAUUUCAUAGUCAAAAGCUCUAUAAUCGCAAUAACCAUCUUUUGAUUUUGACAAAAAUUUUCUUUAAAUUUUUACAAAGAUCUAUAAUGGCUUCACCAAUCCAUGCUUGCAUAUAUAUUGUAAAUAUCCGGCAUCAAUUUGUGUUAGCAACUCUAUGACUUUGAAAACUCUUAACGUUUUAUUAUCAAGAUAUAAUUCUCUUGGAACCCAAAUCAAUAUAUAAUAUUUUCUCUAAGAUUUACAACAUCAUCUGCUUUACUUUCCUAGUGAAUGCUUCACCCAUCUGAAAAAGAAUCUGUAGCACUAGAAUAAACUUAUCCCCCCUGGUAGAUUUGGACUUGAUAUACCCUAUCACAUCUGUUCCCCAAUAUUAAACGGCCACUAGCAUUGUAGAUUUCAAGGGUGAUGAUUAUUUCAAUGAUCACCGGUGAUUUGACAUGGGAGGAUGCAGUUCCUAUAGCAUAAUCAUAAUCAAUCUGUACAUUGUGGCCAAUAAUACCGCAAUUUUAAUUUUAGCGCCAUUUUUGCCCUUAUUAUUGCCACCCAAACACCCAAUAACAUUCAUGCAUGACUGUUAAUCCAUUGGUGAUAACAACAUUUAGCCAUAAUGAACAAAAGUAUUUGCGAUAAAGUUGAUUAUUAACGAAUAUAUCUCAUCGCUCUUUUCUAUUGCUGUCUGACUUUCUCUGCAGUAUUAUUAUCAUUUGAGAAAAUCGAAGAAAGUCUCUCCAAUCAUCUUCUAACGAUAUUACAACUUAGACUCCUUCGCUACUCUUUCUUGAUUUAAGUCUAGCCAGGAUAUAUAUUUUUCGAUUCGUAAAUUAUUGGACCUGCACCAUUGAGUGCGGAUCAGCAAUCUCUUAGGUCCAAUCUUAGCUAGGGUAAUACAUUGAACAUUCGGCAAACUAGGAAUUCUGAAGGAGUUGAAUAGUGACUCUGAUGAACUCUUCUACAACUUUUGUAGGAUUGUUGAGAGGCUUCACAAAUCACUGAGCAAGCAGAUAACUGGAAAUGAAAAUGCAUUACAAUGCCUUACUCUAUGCAAUGCUUCGAAUUUUGCAAUGCGAAGUUCUAGUAAGGGGAUGACCAUUGGAACCUUCCCACAGGUUCUAAAGGUUAAAGAUAAUUAUGAAUAAGUUUAAGAGUGAUCGAAUGUGAGAAGCGAGGAAGUGCGUUGCACUUUAGAAUGCAUCUUCUCAUUGUUAUCGGUAACCCUAUCGUACCGUACCCUAACAGCAGAAUCUGCAGCUGCGUGGCAGCAAGGCCAUUUUGGUCUUUUUACAUCUCCUACUCAUCCUUAUCCCUCCCAGCUCGACCCUGAGGUUGUAUUACACUUAGAAACUCAGGAAAAAACAGGUUUUAGCUAUCCUCUUUCUCUCUCUAGGGUUUGGAGCUCAAGAGAGCUUGGUGUAGUGGUUUCGGCUUUUUCGACGUGAUUUCCUUGCGCUAGCUGGUUUGGUGGGAUUUGGAGGAGCUCUCUUGUUGUGAACUGUUGGAGGUGAAGGUUCUCUUGCUGCCCAACUUAGUUGGAACCUGAUUUGCAUUAAGGUAUGAUGGACUAAGCAACUUUUCUCUCUCUAGUUUCAUGGUAGUUGCUAGUAGUGGUUGUUGGAGCCGAUUUUGGACUCUUUGCUGGCAGCAGGUUGUGGCAAAUAUUUUAUCAUCUUGAGAAGGAUUAGGGUGCUGUGGAGUCUUCACUUUAGCUCAGGGAGGAGCUGAUUUGUGACUUAAUCAGGUAAUUAGUCCACUUAUAGAAGUUUUAGCAUGUUUGACGAGGUCGAGGUGUUGAUUUUGGAUGUAGUGAUCGCAGCAGCAGUAAAUGUCGCUUAGUGCUGAGUUUGGGACUCCGUAAGCUGAAUUGAAAGGUACUUUCAUUGGUGGUAAGUAGAAUUUGUAAUUGGAAAACUAAAUAGCUCAUAUUUUAACCUAUAUUGGAUAUAUGUUUAUGAAGUAAAGGCUGUUUUGUGAUGUUAUUCGCAGCGUAUCGCGAUUGUGGACUGAUUGGUUCUUGGCUGUAUUUGAAGGCUUUCAGAGGGUUAAACUUAGAGUUUAAUCGGAUCCAAAACAGGGAACUAAGCUACUCCACGAUUUAAGGUGAAGUAGUAGCCGAUUUUGGAUGCUUUGUUCAUAGUUGACGCAGUUUUUGGAGCUAUGUCCACAGCAGAUCUUGUGUUUACUUGAGCUAAUUUUAAUACUUCUUUGGGCAGGUCUGAGCUAAGUUUUGAGAACACCUAGCUUCCUUAUUGAGCUCACUCAAUUUCCUUUGUUCUAGGUAUGAACUAACACCUAGUAUGCAUUAAUAUGUGAGGUUCCUAAUUGUUCAACUGAAAGUUGAUUUUAACGUGUUCUAGGGGAUUGAGAGACGUUGGACUUGGUUGAUCGAGAGCUUCCCUUAAUAGGUGGGUCUGGCUUUCCCGAAAUGGAUGAAUUCCCUCUUUGUCUUCUUUGACAUUUGAGUUGAAGUUAUUUUAUACUUAUGUGAAUAUAUGUAUAGUUUAAGGCAUUGAGACAUGCACUGAUAUGUAGAUCAUAUCAGAACCGAUAGUAUUUUUAAAUGGUAAUGAAAGAUUCAUGACUUGUCCAUUCUACAUGGUUACCUGAUAAGUACUAUGAAUUCAUGAUACUAGUAGCUUGCAUAUGCAAUUUGGCUUGAUGUUAUCCACGAGGAUAGAAUGGUAAAUUCGUGAAUGGACCAAUUAGUUCUGUUGAACAACAAAGAGACUGAUGUACUUAGGAGUGAGUUAUGCAAUGUUAUGCAACAAGUAUAAUGGCUAAACUCUGAAAGAUCAGGUAAAGGCUUGUGUUUGCAUAUGCAUUCCUAAUUGUAGAAUGAAUGGCAUGGAGGUCAUGUGAAAAGUAUUUUAUUGUUUAUAUUCCUUGCUUAUAUUACUCUGUUAGUUUCUGCAUUCACAUGAUAGAGUCAUAUUGUGGUAUAUAUUCUAGUAAGUAACUAGAAGUUUAUAGGAUGGCAUAAUUGAAUGACAUACAGAUGAAUAUAAUCUAGUAGAUAACUAGAUUUAAAUAUGAUGACAUACUUGUAUAGUCAAGUAGAGGUGAUUGUUUCAUAUUUGUGUGCGUCAAGUAAUAGAAGUUUAUACUGAACUUCAGGUUAUGUGCCAUGAGUCUAUGAAUAGAACCUUAGUAAACCACUUUCCUUAUGUGUAAGGAGUAGUGAGAGAUUGUGAAUGAUUGACCAGGUAUAGUCUGAUAGAAUCACUAGUGUGAUGUAAAGCCUUAACUUGUCAAGUUAUAUUAGUUGUUAGUAGAAUCAUAUCAACAAGUUGUUGAUAGUGACUUAUGAUUGGGUACUACAGUGCCGACCUUGGGUCGAGUGGAGAUAUUUGUACCCUGGACUAUAGCUUGCAUGCCAAUACGCUCUUUCGUACCUGCUUGCGGGGGUCGCGCCCCCCAAGCCCCGCGUUCCGGAGUGGCUUGAGUUGAGAUACCAUGUCAGGGACAUGAUACUGUUGUGAGAUUGGUACUAUGGACUACGGCUUGCAUGCCAUUGUGCGCGUUCGCACACGCUUGCGGGGUCGCUGCCCCCAAGCCAGCACUCCCGAACAGCUUAGCGACAGAUGCUCGCAAAUGUACGAAGUGAGCGCCGAAGUGGAAUGCCGUGGGGAGUGUACACUACCACGGGGCCAUUAGGCACGGCGCGGCUUGAACUUACCUUGUGUAAGUUUGUUGGAAAUUGGGUUAUGUCAAGUACUUCAACCUUAGCUGGACAUAGUAGUAAAGUUACUUUAUGUCUUUGGUUAAGUGAACUUAUUGAUGAACAUACUAAAAAGUUGACAUCUAAAGUGAGCUUAGUGAUGAAUAACCUAGAAGUUGACAUAAUGAUUGGUUAGCAACACAAUGAAUGACAUUAUGUUUCUUUCUUGCUAAUGCAAAAGGUAAUUACAUGAUAUCAUCUGUAAUUUCAGUAAAGGGAAUUACCUUGCAUACAAUCAGGUAUUUGUUUGGUUAAAUUGUCAAGUAAUUUGAUUGAUAGAAUCUAUCAUGAUAACUGAUACCUGCAAUCUAUUGAUGUUUAUUUAUUGUUGAGCAAUAGCAUGAGUAGUUUAUUUUCAUACCUGUUGCAUGUAAUUGCCUAUUGCAUUAUCUGCAUUUACUUGUUUAUACAUUGUUAUUUACUCAUGCCACAGUUGACCUAGUGGUGUACUUCGCCACCCCCGGCGGAUUACCCACUGGGAACUAUUGUUUAAUAGUUCUCACACCCUCUUUAUUGUUGUUUUUACAGAGCCUUCCACCGCGGGAAAGGCUAGGGUUCUUGGCGAGGGGUCUGCGGCUAGCUAGAGCCUUUUGGACGUGUACUAGAUGACCUCCACCAGUUUAUGUAGUUUAGUACAGAGAUGUAUAUUAAGUUUUGUAAAUUGUACUUUAUUCUUAUUUCCCGUAUUAAGGUUUGGAUUGUAUAAGUUAAACUUAAAAGUCUUGCUCUGAUUACCUGGUUAGAAUUAUAUGCUUUUACUAUCUGGUUGUAGACGCCUUGUGUAUACUUGAGUCGGGAUGUACACGGCGGGUCUGUGCACGCGACCGGAUAUGCUUCCGUUGGUACCCGGGCGUGACAGAUUAUAGUGGUAUCAGAGCCUAGGGUUGAGUUUUAGUGGACCUAGUAAAUCUUAGGCCGGUUGAACGAUCAGGAUUAGGAGCGUGAGAAACGGGGUCUUUUGCGACUAUAUUGAGCGAAAGUAUUAUGAUUGGGUCAUACUUAUAACUCCAAAAUUGUUGGAGUUCGAUUGAAAUGAAUAACCUCUAUGUCCUUCCAAAAUCACGUUGGCGGCCGACAAUGUGAUAUUGGGAAAUAGUGGGCGGUCAUUUCAUUACUUUCGCAUGAUUAGAAUUUUACAAUUUUGAGUGGGGCUACGAUAGCAUGGGUUGUUUUAACCUGUGCCUAUUUUGUUUGUUGCAGCUUGCAAUGUCAAAGAUGCACCCUACGGCAACUGAUGCAACUGAGCGAGAAAGACAUGAACCCUCUGAAUCUAACGAGGUUCAGGAAUUAAAAGAGCAGCUAGCUACUCUAGUUGGAGUGGUAGAGCGACAAGCGAAUGUGACGCUACUUCAAGCCGAUGCUUUGCGCCGACAGGAUGAAGGAAUCAGACGGUUGGAGAACCUGUUGAUUCAACAGACGGCUGAUCUCAAGAAAUUCCACGAGGUUUCAGAUUGUACUUUGACCGUAAGAAAAGGUGUGGAAUGCACUGAAAGAGCCAAAGAGGCUACUGAGGGCGAUCAAUUAUAUGUCGGAGACUCAUCAAGAAAAUUAAAGAAGAAUCAACCUUCGAAACGUGAUUCUUUUUCUAAGCAAAGAAGAUUGAGGAGACGAUUACCUCGGCCAUGUGUAAUAUGUGGAGGUCCGCAUGUUCCCCCAAAGUGUCCUCAGCGGAAAGGAAAGUGUUUUGUAUGUGCUCAGGAGGGCCAUUUUCGCUCUGAGUGCCCAAGAAAUGAUAUGUUGACUAAGGUAUCUGCACCGACUUUGUUGCAAAAAGUACCCAGUGAAGGUACGCCGACGAAAUCAAAGAGUCAGAUACGACGGCAGGGAUAACUACUGCAGGUAGUACUUUAUGCAAUGUCCCUAUGAUUCGAUAUGAUCAUAAUGAUGGCUUUAGUUGCAUUUCUGAUCGGCUGUUUACCGAGUUGAUUCGUAUCAAUUCCCUCCUUAUUGCAUGUAGGAUUGAUUGAAUAGAAUAAUCUCUUUGACGCCCUGCCUAUUGAGAAGGCUUAGCAGAUGCCAGCAAAUGUAUUGGCUUAUCUAUGAGAUACUUGUACCACGGGUUGUGCGAACUAAAUUGGUUCGCCUUGGAACUUUGAACUUUUUGCAAUGCAUUUUGAAGGGUUUAACCUCGCUGAUUGCAAGAAUGAUCAUUUUUACCUAAAAUUAGGUAAUUAUGGAACGGUUGGAGCUUAUUUGGCCGAUAAGAUAAAUGUGAGAAUCCUCGAAAUGACGAAUCAUUUUGAGAAGUGGCUGUGAUAUUUUUGAUCAAGUCACAAAUUGUGAACUUGACGAAUAGCGAAUGUUUUAUGCCUAGUGCUUCAUGUUGGUGAAGUAAUUUCACUUGUGGUAAGAUUAGAUGAGCUAUUCAACUAUGUGUCGGAUAUCGUGAUUUCAAUUGGAAACACGAUUAAUUGAGAUCUGUGAAUCUUUUGACCAGCUUUUCGUAUUGGUGCAUGUUAUGGAUUAAGUAGCAAUUUGGGAAGUUGUAGUCUUCUGUGAUAGACAAGGUUAUGAAGGAUUUAUCCAGUUGAUUGUUCUGUGAAUCCUACAAGGUAGAUAAUGAUUGAUUGAGAAGAUGAAUUAAAAGGAUUGAGAUGAAUCUCUCCUAAUGGAACGAAGCAUCUUGGAAUAUUGAGAAAGAGAUUAUCCAGCUACUUAUUUCUUUCUCUUCUGAUCCUAGUUAUGUAUAAUUGGAACUAAGCUUCAGGGAACAAACUGCAUGAGGUUAGUCUUUGGGAAUUAAUAUCUUGACUAAUAGUUAUAUUGGGAUAAAUCUCAUACAGUUUGAAAGCAAAUGAUGAUGCUCUAAUGGUGGGUUAACGAAAGGUUUUGUUGAGAUUUCCUCCCUACUUAUGGAAAAAUAUGUAGAGUAACAGCAAUAGAAAACUUAUGGGUGAAGUAUAAAUUGAUUCCUUUCUAUUACCUUAAUUGGAUUUGGAACAAUGAGUACUUUGAGCCUCACACUCUCAGAACAGUAUCAAAGAAAGUGUAUCUGAAUUGAUUUAAUUAUAGAAGUAAAUAGUGAUGUCACAAGUGAAUUUGGGAGAAGCAAAGCUCCAAUUUGAGCUUGCAUAGCAUUGGAUGGAAAUCGUGCUUGAAUACAUGAAGACAAUCUCUUGGUGAUGAUUUGGUUAUGCUCUACUUAUGAUUAAUGUAAAGGGGAAACAGUAAAGUUGUAAAGAUAACAUUAAUGGAAUCCAUAUGACUUUAGAUAUUGACGUGGAGCAGCAUCCAUUUAUGCGAAUUGAGAUUAUCGCCUAGUGACAGGAUGAAAGAUGAUACUAAAGUAUUGGGAUACAAUGCGGAUUAGCUAAUCACGAAUCCAUUUUUUUGUGGAUUGAUAAACAUAAUCAAUUCCAAUUUGUCAGUGGAGGGUUACUAUCAAAGCUAACUAGUUCACUAUCAAGCUAGUUAUAAUUGAGGAAUAUAGUAACUACAAGGUAUAUGAGAGAGUUAUGACUACUGGAUGAUGCAAGUUAAUCACUGAUAUGUGAUCAUCUUGUAAAGCACAAGUUGUACAGGAGAGAUAACCGAUGAAGCCUAUUAAGGAAGAAAUAAACCCCUGCAGAUGAGCAAGAUGAGAAGGGUUGGAUUUUAUCCUCGAAUUAUUAAAAAAAAAAAAAAAAAAGUCGAAAUGGAACUUCAUCCAUUAAAAUCAUGGAUUCCAUGGAUGAAAGAAGAGUUUUUUUUAUUGCAAUGGCAAAAAGUGACAUGAAUUCAUGAACAAUAAUGGAAUGGAUUUUCCAUCCUUUUUACAUGAUAUUGGACGAGGAUUCAGUUCUAGUUUCGCGGACGAAACCUAUUUCUAGGAGGGGUGAAUGUAAUACAUUGAACUUCGGCAAACUAGGAAUCUGAGGGUUGGAAUAGUGAUUGGAACUCUUCUACAACUUUUGUAGGAUUGUUGAGAGGCUUCAGCAAAUNAGGUAUGUCGCAUGACAUGUGAAUCAUUGUUAGUUAUCUUGGGCAUAUGGGCAGAUUGAUGAUAUCCUAGCCCUUUCGUGUGUACUGUUCGGCCAUUUGGAAGCACGACUCUUUUUUGUGGUGGAUUCCACAUUUUCUGAAAAAAAUUUCGAUUGGCUCAUGACCUUCUUAUAGAAAAUCCCGAUCUAUUUAUCAUGUCUUUGAGAUUUUUCGGAAAGUAUUUUGGCAUGACAUCUUCAUAUAUUUCCUCAUCAGAGUUAUCAAGUUUGAUAAGAUCAGAGGGUUUAUAAUCAUUUGACUUGUAAAAAAGGAUCCCUUUCUUUAUUCUUUCUUUUUCUUUGACUUUCUCAACUUGAGGAGGUACAAAGAAGGUUUUUAAAUCAUUCACUUUUGUUGGCUCACUUAUGUGAAGAGAUUUUAUAUGUCCAUAUGGAACUCUAGUAAUAUUUAAGGAAUCUUCAAUUAAUUCAGGAAUUCUUAUGAACAUAUUUGACUCAGAUGUCGGGAAAAUCUCUUCAUCUUCUGAUGAGUCUUCACCCCAGGGCAUGUUUAACUUGAAAGAAAAUGUUUCCAACAUUUUCCUUAAUUGUUCUUCAUCACUUUCGAAGUGUGGAAUCACAUUUUCUUUAUUAUUCUCAAUUUUUAUCUUUCCCUUUGACAAAUUUUUAUCGCUCUGAACUUUACCCUCUUCAAGUUCGCGAGACAAUUUUAUAUCUUUUUCAGAUUCUGCGAAAUACCUCGCAUCUUCAUAUCGUACUUCAUGCACUCCAAAUGGGCGUAUAUCACCAUCAAUUCUGACUUCUUCUCCAUCCUUAAUAUAUUUCAUACAUUGAUGAAGAGUAGAGGGGACAACGUUAUACUCGUGCAACCAAGGCCGUCCCAAUAACGUUUAUACAAAGUAUCUGCAUUUAUCACAUAGAAUUUUACAUCGGUCCGCAAUGCUCCAAAUUUUAUAGGAAGAAUGAUCGACCCGAGAGCUUUUUGGCUAUGCUGAUUAAAGCCUUGAAUCAAAAUUUUUUCUGAGGACAGAUGAUCGACAUUCAGAGCUAAACUUUUCAAAGUUCUUAAAGUCAAAAUGUUGACUGAGGAUCCAGGAUCGAUUAGAAUACGAUUAAUCUUCUCUCCAUCGCUUGUCCCAGUCACAUAUAACGGCCUGUUGUGAUGAGCAGUUCCCAACAGCAUGUCCUCAUCAGUGAAAGUAACAUUGGCGAUAUGUCUGGAGUACAAUGCUUCUUUCAUAUUCAUCUCAGCAAAAUAAGCAUAAAAGGGCUCGGGGUUUUGUAAAGCGUAAAUGAGUACAUCCCGAAGUUCUCUGGACAUCAUCAGGGCGUCAUACACACUCAACAAGGCUGGCACUUUUCUUAAAUGGGAAAGUAUGUUAUACUCAAUCUUUGAUAACUUUCCUUGAUUUGAUGAAGUCGGUGCCUCUUCAUUUAUCUGAAUUUCUUUAUCUUUACCAUUUUGCGGCUGCCCUUGUCUUUCUGGUAACACCUUUCCAGACUUAAGCUUAAUUUGGAAAGAAUCCUCAGCUCGUUCAUCUUCCUUGGUAUUAGAGUCGACACCACAGGUAAUAGUUUGGCACGUUUCGACUCUAGUCUUUUCAUAAGUAUUCAACUUAUCAAGUAUCUCUUUUAAUUGCUCUUUCAUAUUUUUUAUUGCCAUAGCCACACAGUCUAUGUUUGUUGCUAGAGUGCGUACAUCAAUCUGCACUCUCCUCAAAUCAUUGUCUAUCUCGAGAAGACGAUAUUCGACUCUCCUUGCGUCGUUAUCCCUGCUGGGAGUAUUAUAUGCUCUCCAGGCACUAUCGCUAUCUUCACAUGCCACAGUUGGUUGUCUAACCAUAUUCCUUUGAUUUACAGAGUCUUCAGAUUGCUCUUCGGAGAUUGUUAUUACCCGACAUGACUCCUUGAGCUGUAAUUUAUUUUUUCUAUGGUCCCGAAGUUUCACGCAUACAUCAUAAGCAUGACCUCUCAUUCCACACCAAAAGCAACGCAAUUUCAUAUCAUCCAAAGCGUCAUAACAUGCUUUUCUGAAUUCUUCUGGAGUAAUGGAUUGCUGUUUCUCAAAUCGUGGGAGAUGUUUCUUCCAUCGUUGUCUUUUGGAUUCAGCAAUAGUCGGUUGAUCAAUUUUUGACUUCACCUUGUUCAUAGGUAAGUUCUGCAUCUUUUUCCAUUGGCGGCAAUUUUCCAAGGUGUGUCCCCAUAUGUUAUGAUAGGUACAGAACUCUGUCAGCAUAACUUUAUUCUUUUUUUCGUUAUUCUCCUUAACCAGAGCUUUAUUAUUUUGGUGAACUUCUGAUUGCUGGUUUAGGGUUGUAUUCUUCUUCUUUUUUAGUGAAGAUGACCCCGCAUUUCCUCUCAUCGACAGUCUUUUAAGCUCUUGAGCAAUUAUGUGUGCUUCAUAGAAACUUGCGUCGUAUUCGGCUUUUGUUGACUUUGAUUGCUCCGAGCCUUGCUUCUUAUCAUCUUCCUUUAAAUCAGCUUGCAUAGUUAUGACUCGAUAGGUCUCGACCCGAUAUCUUUUCGAUGCUUCAGUAACAUCGGUUUUGAGCAUAUCUAUGAUAGCUCUCAUUUGAAAAUCUAUGCCUUUUACACUACCGAUUAUUUCGUUCAUGUUCAUCUUUAUAACGUUAAUUUCAUUGUGCAGCCUCCUCAUUUCUCCCUCCAUUAUGAUUAAGCGACACUCCAUUCUAUACAAUUUCUUCAUUGGAUCAUGAUAAGCUGAAGUGUCGUAUAAUUCCAAAGGAUCAACAUAAGCAUUAUAGUUUGGUGUGGAUGUCUGUUGAUUUGCUCUCAGGGUCGGCGCAGGUCUUUCUAGCACGUCAUCAGAUGUCGUAAUGACACGACAUGAUUCCCGUAUGUAAGGAAUAGUCUUGUGCUUAUUUUUCUUCUGGAUUUUCAAAGUGGUGCUUCUGACACUUUGCCUUAUACUUGCCCCUUGAGGAAAUUGCCCUUUUGGUCUUUUUAUAUGUUGAAAAGUACGACAGUUUUCUAGGUUAUGUCCUUUUACUUGAUGAAAAGGGCAAUACAUAGGUGUAUUUUUGCUGCCAGAAGAUUGAGGAUUAACGCCUCCCGUCGGCGCCGUUCUCGAACAUUUCCCUUUGUUAAAUUUUUUAUUGACUCCACCCUUAUUUUUGGUUUCUACAAGGGGAGCUUUUCCUUCAUCUUUUUGAGAAGUUUCAGGUGAAAGCUGUUUUGAAGAUCGACUUGUAGACCUUGGUAAUAUUUCGAUAUCCCGUUCUCUGUUCUUUUGCAAUUGGGUCUGUUGAGGGAUGGGAGUACUCUUCAUUAAUUGUUCUACUCUAGCUUCGAUCCCAAUCAACAUAGAGAAUAUUACAUUCAUUUGUGCUUUCAUAUCCAAUAUUUUAUCAUUCACCUUGUGAUAGUUGCAAUGCGUCAUUUCUUUUAUUUCUGCCAAUUGGUUAUGAACUUCUCUGAGGUUCCUUUCUCGUUCGCUAAAGUGGCUAGAAGGAAAGAUCAUUUCUUCAUCAUCACGUUGUGCGGUGAUGACUCUGCAAGUUUCUCCCCAAAAAGGCUCCUAUUUUUCUUUACACUCCUCGACAGGAAUUUCUCUUUCAUCAGAGUCCUUCUUUUUCUUAGCCUAUUCUAUUGCUUUAAAAAUAAAAUCAUGAAUCAUAAGAGGCUCUCUUUCAACUUGUUUAUAUUCUUCCAGUGAGUCAAUAUGCUCCUCAAUAGGCCGCUUCUUAUGUUGUGGUUGAGCCGGCUCAACAAAUUUUUUUAUUCUUCUUAACCCGAGUUAUUCUGCGCCUUGACUUGGCUGAAGUAUUAAUUGGAGGUGUGGGCUUAUCCCCAGAUUCCACUUCUGGGUUUAAGGGGCCUCGCCAUUUUAUUCCCGGAACAUCUUAUAAAUAUUUUAACAUCUUCCGAGUUUUCUUAUAUAAAAAUAUAUUCCGAAACUCGGGGAAAAAUACAUUCUCAAUUUCUUCCAUAUUUUUUGUAUCAAUCAGAUUGGCCUUUUCGACUGGGGCUUCUGAUAACACUGAUUGUGAAAGAGUGAUUGCACCGCUUCUAUAUUGCUUUUCAACCCAGUCUUUGAAAACCCAUCAGUCUUCAAUUGGAUGGCUAAUUAAUCUAUGAUAUAGGCAAUUGUUCGGAUCACCGGUUUUCCCUAUAUCCUCUGGCUUCUUUGGCUCCGGCAGUUGAAGACCAUUUUUAACAGCAUCGUUAAAUAUUUUCUUAACUUUGUCCCGUUUGAAAGGGUAUACUUUGUUUCUUCGCUCCUCUAAAGAAAUCCCUUUUGGAUUAUUACCCCCUAACACAGGUUUUACAGGGGUCUGUUCAACUGUAGAGGUAAUUGCCUUCUUUUCUUUUUCUAUCAUAUUCGUGCGGGCCGGUCUAACCUGCGCCAACUUCGCCUCAACUCUUUUGUUAUCAUCUUUUUUUAUCUUUUGUAAGUUUAAGAGGACCUGGGGAUCGAUUCUCUCCAAUCUAGAGAUAUUUGAUAUUAAUUCAUGAAAAGUGGAACAACUAGAUGUGCACAGAAAAGGGGCCAUCCAAUUAUCAAUAUUGCCCAUGACAAGACCAACAGCUUGAGACUGGUCUAGAGGUUGUUCACACCUUAUAUUUAAGUUCCGCCACCUUGUAAUGUAAUCUAGCAUUGUUUCAUCUUUUCUUCGUCUGGUAGCUACCAGAUCAGCGAUAGUAAUAUUAUCGCUAACGGUGGCGAAUUUUGCUCUGAAAGCUUCUUCCAUGUCGGGCCAGGUUUUAAUGGACUCAUCUUCGAGGGAGUAGUACCAUUCAAAAGCUAUACCUGACAAACUUUGUGAAAAUUGUCGCAAGAGUAGAGGUCCUUUACUCCCCGUAUUUUCACACAUAGCCUUAAAAUGUGCUAGAUGCUGAUCAAGGUUACCAACACCAUAGAACAUUUUGAACUUAGGGACCUGAUACCCUUCUGGAAAAGGUACGUUAUCGUAUUCCGAUAGAUAAGAAUGUCCUUUCCCUUUCGGUUUUGGAGUUGCCCCCGCUACCGUCUCUUUAACUUGUGAAGUGAUCAAAUCAUGAAUUUCUUCCUUAGUUAAAGAGGUAGUCUCUUUAAGAACAGUUGUUUUAGCCUGUUCAUCAAUGACUCGUGGUAUGUGUGCUUCCGGCUGGGUUAGAAUCUUGGUUUGACGUCGUUGAUCCUCCAAUUGCUUCUAUACAUUUAACAUCAAACUCAUGACCUCCUCCAUCUUCUUAUAGAGAUUUAUGAUAUCUCUAUCCUUUUCAUCAACUUUCUUUUUUAAGGACGCAAUCAUAACGUCCUUUGGAUCCCUCGGGAAGCAGACAACCUCCUCUUCCUCUCGUGGGUCAGAUGGAUCACUAGGCAUAUCAUCUUUAUUCUCCAUAUUUUGUGUUUGCGAAGAGCUUGCUUCCUCAGCUCUUGCUUUCUCUUCCGCGGCUUUUCUUGCAGCAGCUCUCGUAAGAAUUUGCUGAAUAGUUUCUUCUUCAUCAACCGACUCACUUGACGACGUAUGCCCAAUAACUCUUACUGUGUGAAUCUCCAAAUUCUUUACUUUACAUUUUUCUUCUUUGAUCUGAGCAAGAGUUUUGGGCUUCCACUCUGUCUUUCUUCCUUCCCAUGAUAGUGUUGACUUUCGCUGCCACUUCGACUUCUCAAUUUUCUUCUCUAGGCUCAUUCUUCCUUUUGUAGCCUUAAAAGUUUUAUAUAUCUGCUUGAAGACAGAGUUCUUAUCAUUGUUUCUUAAGCAGGGACGUGCAAAAGAUGGUUUUAAAUGGGCCAUUUCUGACUCUGGGCGCAGAAUGGCAGUAGGUGAAUUUUUCUUCAUUACGGGCCAAAACAUCGGGCCCGGCGACAAACCUAUUAUGUUGGGUUUGUUGGGACUUGUUUCCUUUGUUCAUCUCCUGCCGCUUCAAAGUACGACGAAGAUUUCUCUUGAAUGACUUGGUCACAGUGUCCUUGGGGAACGUCAGCCUAUUGAAGACUGACGCUUUAGGCUCCAUAUCAAGUAGCGAUGUUCCGUCAAUUCGGUUUUGGAACACCAGUCUUCCUUGUAAUUCCAUCUUCUUUGAAGCGCUGAUAGGUGUCAUCCUCUCCUUCACAGGAACGCGAGGGGGGUUGGGAAUGACGACAUUCGGACGCCUCCCACGAGAGGGAAGUCGUGGAACCACAACAUUAACAUCAUUUGUGCUAGUAACAGUAGUGAAAGAGGCCAUAGCCGCAGCCCUAGCCUCUUCUGGGAUGGUACCGAACUGGAUCGCAACACCAGCAGCUCCAAUGGUGAGGACAGAUGUCGGUAGGCAAACCUGACCUGCAUUGAUCAUCAUCGAGCCUGUGGCAACAGCAGUGUUAUUCGGUGACAUUUCUCCUGUAAGGGAAUAACGAGUGUCAAUUAGAUAUCUAUCAUCUAAUUCUAUUAACAUAACAUUGGUCUCAAAGAUGGAAGGAGAAGUCAUGUCCACCGGGCGUGCCAUUUUGUCUGCGACCACGAAUGACGCACCUCGCACGGUUGAUCUUAUUUUGAUUUUUCCCGUGGGAUAGUAUUCAUGAUUCAGAUUAAUAUUUAAUUAUAUAUAUAUAUAUGGCUAUCAGGUAUUGUGGAUUCAUGGCUUCCAAUAAACGCAAGCGUCUAUUGUUAAUUACUCCUACAAAGUGUUAGGGCACCUUCGAUUAAGAGACCUCUGUAAUGCUGAAAUAGACUGAAAUAAAAAGUGGAUUUUAUAACAUAAUCCAUUGUAUAGUUACAUGGCUUAACCAGGGGCAUACCCCCAGUGUACAUGAAUGAAUAUGACGGUUGAUUGAACUUGAUUCUGAAUCAAAGUGUAUGAUCAAAUUGAUUUGAUUGGGCUCUAUAUGUUUCAGUGCUCAACAAUAUUGUUCACCCUAAGGUGAGGGAUUGAUUAAAUUCCAUGUAUAUGCAUUGGGACUUAAUCGGAUUUGAUUCAAAUUAAACCCUAGUUAGGUGCAUUAGAGUUUGAUUUGAUUAAAUUGAUUUAAGCUUUCAUCCUAAAUGUAUGUGUUAGGAUUAGCCCAAAUAUUUCGAAUUAGACUCUAAUUUUAUAUCUUAGAGUCUAGUGUAAUUAAGCUCUAUGCUUAUAUGUUAGAGCUUAAUUAUGUCUCACAUUGAGUUCACCAUAAGGUGAAAUAUUAACUAAAUCCUAAUUAUAUAUAUUAGGAUUAGUCAAAAUUUGAUUUAAAUUAAACUCCAAGUGUAUGUAUUAGAGUCUAAUUCAAUUUCAUUUGGGUUCACCAUGAGGUGAAAUAUCAACUAAAUCCUAAUUAUAUAUAUUAGGAUUAGUGAAAUUUGAUUUAAAUUAAACUCUAAGUGUAUGUAUUAGAGUCUAAUUCAAUUUCAUUUGGGUUCACCAUGAGGUGAAAUAUCAACUAAAUCCUAAUUAUAUAUAUUAGGAUUAGUGAAAUUUGAUUUAAAUUAAACUCUAAGUGUAUGUAUUAGAGUCUAAUUCAAUUUCAUUUGGGUUCACCAUGAGGUGAAAUAUCAACUAAAUCCUAAUUAUAUAUAUUAGGAUUAGUGAAAUUUGAUUUAAAUUAAACUCUAAGUGUAUGUAUUAGAGUCUAAUUCAAUUUCAUUUGGGUUCACCAUGAGGUGAAAUAUCAACUAAAUCCUAAUUAUAUAUAUUAGGAUUAGUCAAAAUUUAAAUUAAACUCUAAGUGUAUGUAUUAGAGUCUAAAUCAACUAAAUCCUAAUUAUAUAUUAGGAUUAGUCAAAUAUAAUUUAAAUUAAACUCUAAGUGUAUGUAUUAGAGUCUAAUUUGGGUUCACCAUGAGGUGAAAUAUCAACUAAAUCCUGGUUAUAUAUAUUAGGAUUAGUCAAAUGUAAUUUAAAUUAAACUCUAAGUGUAUGUAUUAGAGUCUAAUUCAAUUUCAUUUAUUUGAACUCUAAGUAAGUGUAUUAGAGUUCAAUUGAACUGAUUAGGUGAAACCUAAUAGAUGGUUUGAUCAAUUCUAAACAAAUAUUUUAGAAUUUGAUCUAAUAUGAAUGUGAUAACAAUAUGACUCUAGCUUAAUAUGCUAGAGAAUUGGAUUAAAAAGAUUUGCCCUUAACAAAUUGGUAGAGCUUGGUUUCAUAUUUGAUCUGAUAGGCAUGAUUUAAGGUCUUGGUUUGGGUUAGAUUUUUGGGUUUGAUGUUGGUCUGAAUUGGUUUUCAAUUUAGAUUUUAUUCGAUUUGGGCAUUUUUAUGAACCAGUUUGGAAUUCAAACUUGGGCUAGGUAUAGCUUCAAGUUAUGGUUCAAUUCUCGGAUGGAUUCAUUCAUGGUCCAAAUUUGGGUCCAUAUAGUUGCAUUCAAACAUGGACUAGAUCCAGGCCUACAUGGUAUGGACUCAAGUUGAGGCCUGAAUUAAAUUUUAAGUUCUGGAUAUAGGCAUAGGCCCAGUUUAGACCCGUUUAAUAUGGAUUCAGGUUGAGGCUUGAAUUGGGUUCGGGCUCACUUUAGGCCCGUAUGGUUUAAGCCCAUAUUUUCUUUAGGCAAGCUAUAGAAUUGGGCCCAGAUUUAUAUUUGGGCUGAACUUGGGUCAUAUUGAGCUUGGGUUAUGAGAUUUGAGGUGGGUACGGGCUUGUUCCAGAUGAGAUUUUGAGAUGGGAAUUAUUUAGGAUUUGUUUGAGAUCAAAAUAUUUAAAUUUAUGGUUCAGAAUCAAAUUCAUCACUUAAAAAAUUUCGAAUGCAUUUUUUUUAUUUGUCAGAUUUUCAGUCAUAAAUCACAUAAAAUGUCUAAUGCAAUUAAAUCUCAAUUUGGUCUAAUUUGACCAAAUCGAAAGAUUUGACUUUGGAUAGAAUCAAAGAGUUCGAUUAUUUUCGAACACUACAUUGUUCUUCCAAUAAAAGGACGAUCAAAAGAAUAUUAAUCGGUAAUCCGACUAAUUUUCUUUUGUCUCCUCAUUGUAGGAGAAUUAAGAGAACACAAUUUUUCCCUUUAUCUCUUUUGAAAAUAUAAGACAACAAAGACAGAUAAUUCUUCUUUUGUCUCUUUUACAUUCAUGGGACAACUAAGGUGAAAAAAUCCCUUCCUUGCCUCCUUUUUGUAACAAAGCUCCCUCUCUCUUUCGUAAUUAGAGAAGUAAUUUCUUUCUCUCUCUCUUUUAAUAAUA